Molecule: non-coding RNA, 89 nt
Filed under: Oscillibacter valericigenes
Lineage: Bacteria; Bacillati; Bacillota; Clostridia; Eubacteriales; Oscillospiraceae
Description: Glycine sequence
Rfam family: Glycine riboswitch aptamer
About the family: This family represents the bacterial glycine riboswitch. Glycine riboswitches usually consist of two metabolite-binding aptamers domains with similar structures in tandem.
Source: RNAcentral
UGAUGGAACUCUGGAGAAUCUCAGAAAUGAGUGCCGAAGGUGCAAGGCUAUAAGCCGAAACUCUCAGGCAAAAGGACAGAGCAAGCUGA